Molecule: transfer RNA, 72 nt
Filed under: Lachnospiraceae bacterium
Lineage: Bacteria; Bacillati; Bacillota; Clostridia; Lachnospirales; Lachnospiraceae
Also listed under: 2 other names
Description: tRNA-Glu
Rfam family: tRNA
About the family: Transfer RNA (tRNA) molecules are approximately 80 nucleotides in length. Their secondary structure includes four short double-helical elements and three loops (D, anti-codon, and T loops).
Source: RNAcentral
GGCCCCUUGGUCAAGCGGUUAAGACACCGCCCUUUCACGGCGAUAACAUGGGUUCAAAUCCCGUAGGGGUCA